GGGCCGCGGGAUUAGAGUUUGAUCAUGGCUCAGAUUGAACGCUGGCGGCAGGCCUAACACAUGCAAGUCGAGCGGAAACGACACUAACAAUCCUUCGGGUGCGUUAAUGGGCGUCGAGCGGCGGACGGGUGAGUAAUGCCUAGGAAAUUGCCUUGAUGUGGGGGAUAACCAUUGGAAACGAUGGCUAAUACCGCAUGAUGCCUACGGGCCAAAGAGGGGGACCUUCGGGCCUCUCGCGUCAAGAUAUGCCUAGGUGGGAUUAGCUAGUUGGUGAGGUAAUGGCUCUCCAAGGCGACGAUCCCUAGCUGGUCUGAGAGGAUGAUCAGCCACACUGGAACUGAGACACGGUCCAGACUCCUACGGGAGGCAGCAGUGGGGAAUAUUGCACAAUGGGCGCAAGCCUGAUGCAGCCAUGCCGCGUGUAUGAAGAAGGCCUUCGGGUUGUAAAGUACUUUCAGUUGUGAGGAAGGGGGUGUUGUUAAUAGCAACAUCUCUUGACGUUAGCAACAGAAGAAGCACCGGCUAACUCCGUGCCAGCAGCCGCGGUAAUACGGAGGGUGCGAGCGUUAAUCGGAAUUACUGGGCGUAAAGCGCAUGCAGGUGGUUCAUUAAGUCAGAUGUGAAAGCCCGGGGCUCAACCUCGGAACUGCAUUUGAAACUGGUGAACUAGAGUACUGUAGAGGGGGGUAGAAUUUCA
RNAcentral lists this ribosomal RNA (697 nucleotides) under uncultured Vibrionaceae bacterium. RNAcentral's name for it is "bacterial SSU rRNA". It matches the Rfam family "Bacterial small subunit ribosomal RNA", at positions 1 to 671 of the family's 1533-position model. Lineage: Bacteria; Pseudomonadati; Pseudomonadota; Gammaproteobacteria; Vibrionales; Vibrionaceae. The record is from RNAcentral.